Molecule: ribosomal RNA, 652 nt
Filed under: uncultured Lachnospiraceae bacterium
Lineage: Bacteria; Bacillati; Bacillota; Clostridia; Lachnospirales; Lachnospiraceae
Description: bacterial SSU rRNA
Rfam family: Bacterial small subunit ribosomal RNA
Source: RNAcentral
GAUUUCUUCGGAUUGAAGCAACUGUGACUGAGCGGCGGACGGGUGAGUAACGCGUGGGGAACCUGGCCCAUACAGGGGGAUAACAGUUAGAAAUGACUGCUAAUACCGCAUAAGCGCACGGAACCGCAUGGUUUUGUGUGAAAAACUCCGGUGGUAUGGGAUGGCCCCGCGUCUGAUUAGGUAGUUGGUGAGGUAACGGCCCACCAAGCCGACGAUCAGUAGCCGACCUGAGAGGGUGACCGGCCACAUUGGGACUGAGACACGGCCCAAACUCCUACGGGAGGCAGCAGUGGGGAAUAUUGCACAAUGGGGGAAACCCUGAUGCAGCGACGCCGCGUGAAGGAAGAAGUAUUUCGGUAUGUAAACUUCUAUCAGCAGGGAAGAAGAUGACGGUACCUGACUAAGAAGCCCCGGCUAACUACGUGCCAGCAGCCGCGGUAAUACGUACGGGGCAAGCGUUAUCCGGAUUUACUGGGUGUAAAGGGAGCGUAAACGGAGCAGCAAGUCUGAUGUGAAAGACCGGGGCUUAAGCCCCGGGCCUGCAUUGGAAACUGUUGAUCUUGAGUGCCGGACGGGGUAAGCGGAAUUCCUGGUGUAGCGGUGAAAUGCGUAGAUAUCAGGAGGAACACCGGUGGCGAAGGCGGCUUACUGG